Molecule: transfer RNA, 75 nt
Filed under: Peptococcaceae bacterium
Lineage: Bacteria; Bacillati; Bacillota; Clostridia; Eubacteriales; Peptococcaceae
Description: tRNA-Gln
Rfam family: tRNA
About the family: Transfer RNA (tRNA) molecules are approximately 80 nucleotides in length. Their secondary structure includes four short double-helical elements and three loops (D, anti-codon, and T loops). Further hydrogen bonds mediate the characteristic L-shaped molecular structure. tRNAs have two regions of fundamental functional importance: the anti-codon, which is responsible for specific mRNA codon recognition, and the 3' end, to which the tRNAs corresponding amino acid is attached (by aminoacyl-tRNA synthetases). tRNAs cope with the degeneracy of the genetic code in two manners: having more than one tRNA (with a specific anti-codon) for a particular amino acid; and 'wobble' base-pairing, i.e. permitting non-standard base-pairing at the 3rd anti-codon position.
Source: RNAcentral
UGGGGUAUAGCCAAGCGGUAAGGCAUCGGACUCUGACUCCGACAUUCGGUGGUUCGAAUCCAUCUACCCCAGCCA